RNAcentral lists this signal recognition particle RNA (100 nucleotides) under Rikenellaceae bacterium. RNAcentral describes it as "signal recognition particle sRNA small type". It matches the Rfam family "Bacteroidales small SRP". Rfam says of the family: The non-coding component of the signal recognition particle in Bacteroides The record is from RNAcentral. Lineage: Bacteria; Pseudomonadati; Bacteroidota; Bacteroidia; Bacteroidales; Rikenellaceae.
GGGUAAGUCUUGCACGACCAGCUCCCGCUUAAUCCUCCAGGGCCGGAAGGCAGCAAAGGCGUGGCGGUCGCAGCGGUGCGAUGCAAGUAGCUUACCCUUU